This 403-nucleotide ribosomal RNA is filed under the name uncultured bacterium. Its description in RNAcentral is "bacterial SSU rRNA". It matches the Rfam family "Bacterial small subunit ribosomal RNA", at positions 355 to 775 of the family's 1533-position model. The record is from RNAcentral.
UGGGGAAUAUUGGACAAUGGGCGCAAGCCUGAUCCAGCCAUGCCGCGUGAGUGAUGAAGGCCUUAGGGUUGUAAAGCUCUUUCGACGGGGACGAUAAUGACGGUACCCGUAGAAGAAGCCCCGGCUAACUUCGUGCCAGCAGCCGCGGUAAUACGAAGGGGGCUAGCGUUGCUCGGAAUCACUGGGCGUAAAGGGCGCGUAGGCGGCCAUUCAAGUCAGAGGUGAAAGCCCAAGGCUCAACCUUGGAACUGCCUUUGAUACUGUUUGGCUUGAGACCGGUAGAGGUAAGUGGAACUGCGAGUGUAGAGGUGAAAUUCGUAGAUAUUCGCAAGAACACCAGUGGCGAAGGCGGCUUACUGGACCGGUUCUGACGCUGAGGCGCGAAAGCGUGGGGAGCAAACAG